Syngnathoides biaculeatus (alligator pipefish) is the source of this 1856-nucleotide long non-coding RNA. RefSeq lists it as uncharacterized. The transcript has 3 exons. NCBI's taxonomy places the organism in Eukaryota, Metazoa, Chordata, Actinopteri, Syngnathiformes, Syngnathidae. The record is from RefSeq and is a predicted model, not a curated record.
AUAAUCAUGUGACACAUUUGGACACCUUGAAUGUGCAUGUACGGAAGCGUACUGCUGUCACAUUUUUCAGGCUAAUUUUUGCUGUUUUCCAGGCUAAUAUUUCCUUGCGUUUAGUUUUUCGGGCUAAUUUUUUCCCCUCUGUUUUUUGAGCAAAUUUUUUUCCUAGUUAUCGGGAUACAUCGAACUCACCCGAGAACCUGUGAAUGACAAGUGACUCCUGACGAAUUUCUUCCAGCUUCAACAGACGCAUUUACCUUAGCGGUCCAAUUCAGGCGCGUCUACAUUCUGUGUUGUAUGAUUGGGCACACGUCCAUUUUUGGACCACGAGAGGAAGAUGGAGUACCUCCAGAAAACCAACACAAGCAUGAGAAGAGGAUCCAAACCCUACACAGCAGAGAAUCCAGAACCUAUCGUCUGUGAAGCAGAUGUGUGAACGAUCAGUCUACUGUGCUGCCCGUGAGGCUUAACACGCAACAGCUCUUUCCGGCUGAGUGCCGACCCCCGUCAAGCGAAGGUCGGACUGAAUAUCCCGUGAUGCCUCUGUCCUGGGCUCCUGGAAGUGGUGGAGGGCAUCCUUGGGGGGGAAGAAGAGGAAUUCUCCUCCCAGUGAUUCAUUUGAACUUUUCCUCUCUUUUAAAUGGCAUCACAGGGACUGGUGUCACCAAAAACUGUUUUCCACAUAAAGUGGAGGCUGGAUGGAUGGAUGUUUAAUAACAGGAAAGCUGUAAUAGGACAAGUGAUGGGCAGGUCUGGCGAAAAGGUGCUUUGAUUAGCAAUCAGGCCCUAUUCAGUGUUUUUCGACCACCAUAAAUGUAGGUGAAGGUGUCUAAUUGUAUGUUUUGAUUGUGCAAACAGGACAAUUGGUGACCCUGUCUUUGUUGUUCAGAUGUUGAUGAAUUCUGGUUCUGUUUGCAUUGGAAUAAUUGUGCUUGAAUAGACAGGGUGAUGCAUAUGCGGAUGGACAAACAGACAUUUAUGUGAAGAUGAAUAGUUUAUGUGCUAUCGUGUCCUGGGGGCAGGUUAGACCCAGAGCAAAUCUAUGAGUGGGAAGGCUGCGUCACUGUGGGUGUAUUUUCAGUCAAUUUCUUUCACUGCCAAUUAAAGCGUCUCCUCCCAUUCCCUUUAAAUGUGGUGUAUCUGACAGUCUCAACGAAAACAUCUCUGUGUGAAAUGUACAAUACAUUAUCGCAGCGAUCUGUGUGCGAGUGGAGCAUCGCCACUGGUGUAGCUGGUGGGGCUACAGACAAUGUGAGCUGGUACACAGACUGAGCUGCUGAUAAACGCUAGCAUCUUGAGAGUUCAGCAUGUCUGCCCACGUCUUGAUCAAAUUCAACAAAUCACAGUUAAAGUGGUCUGAGCAGGCAGAAAUUCAAGCCAACUUUCUACCACCAAAUUGUCACACCACUAGGCGCAUCUCCAACCAUCUCCACAGAACCGGAAUGCCCAAAUUGGCGAACAUGCGCAGCCUUGCGCUUGAAUGAAAAUCCAAGUCCGCCAGCAUUUCCGCCCUGCCUCAGAUAGGCUAUCUACAAAAAUAAAGCCCGAUAUGUGUAUGUGAAUGAACUGAGUAAUUGUUAUGUGUCUUCGAAUAGUUGGACAGACAUUUUCAUUUUCUUUUCAUGCGAAUGGGCUGACAGAUGUUUACAUUACUCUUUGUGUAUAUGUAAAUGGGAAGAAGGAUGCUGCAAUGUUUAAAAAAAAAAAAAAGACAGAGAUCCAUGCAGUUUAGUUGACGGGAUUUUUUUUUAAACUGAAUUAAUUACAAUUGCAAUCACGCUUGUAUCUCGGAAAAGCCUCUACAUGCUUUCCCGUCCCACUGCUAUCUCGAUGGGCGUACAGAGAGAAAUGCCAAUCAA